CGGGUGAGUAACGCGUGGGUAACCUGCCCUGUACAGGGGGAGUAACAGUCAGAAAUGACUGCUAAUACCGCAUAAGACCACAGCACCGCAUGGUGCAGGGGUAAAAACUCCGGUGGUACAGGAUGGACCCGCGUCUGAUUAGCUGGUUGGUGAGGUAACGGCUCACCAAGGCGACGAUCAGUAGCCGGCUUGAGAGGGUGAUCGGCCACAUUGGGACUGAGACACGGCCCAGACUCCUACGGGAGGCAGCAUG
RNAcentral lists this ribosomal RNA (253 nucleotides) under uncultured bacterium. RNAcentral describes it as "partial 16S ribosomal RNA". It matches the Rfam family "Bacterial small subunit ribosomal RNA", at positions 103 to 353 of the family's 1533-position model. The record is from RNAcentral.